RNAcentral lists this long non-coding RNA (442 nucleotides) under Sorghum bicolor (sorghum). RNAcentral describes it as "long non-coding RNA (SBIC_LNC017895)". Lineage: Eukaryota; Viridiplantae; Streptophyta; Magnoliopsida; Poales; Poaceae. The record is from RNAcentral.
GGUCCGGAAAUGCGCGCAACAUCCACUACUUCGUUCUCUGAUAAGCUAAUUAGUUUAUUCUAACCAUUAGUUUAUCCUAAGUGUCAUCUUUAUAUAGAGAGUGUGUUAUGAAAACCAAUUAGGCGUCGAUGGAUUAGACUCACUACACGCUGCCAAAAACGGGUUGGUAUAGAUGCGUUCCAUUCUGUCCAAUAUAAUUUCUACAUUCAGCCUACUCAAAUUUGAAGUUAUAGACAUCUCGGUUGUUUUCGGUUUUUUUUUCACUUUUUAGCGAAUUAAAAACUGAAUAAGAACAGUAAGGUUGUUUUUGCGAUCGUUUUUGCUUUUCACUUUUUUUACUAGCAUAUCCUGUUCUUAGCCGCACGAGAUCUCCUAUUUUAGGAAGCAUAACAACGUACCAUAGUUGACCACACCAUGCUGCAGUAUGUAGCGGGCCUUGUUU